GCCCCUGCAGGCUGACCCAGGAUGCAGCCUCUUGCUCCUGGGGUGGUGUCCUCAGGGGUCUGCGAUUCCUGUCACCUCUCCCUCCCCAGCUCCCACCCUUGCCUGCCCCCUGCUCCCACUCCGGGGGCCUUGGUCCUCCCCUGGCCUUUCCCACACCUGGGAGGAGGCCAUCUGGUGUGCUGACUGCUAAGAAAAUGACUCACAGGUCUCUCUGCCCCCAGCCACCCGGAGGAAACUGUUUGAACUUGCCCGAGCCUUCUCAGAGAAGACCAAAAUGAGGAAGUCAAAGAGGAAACACUUGUUGAAGCAUCAGUCGCUGGGGGCUGCCGCGUCAACAGCCAACCUCCUGGAUGAUGUGGAGGGCCACGCGUGUGAUGAAGACUUCCGGGGCAGGCAUCAGGAGGCGCCCAAGGUGGAGGAAGGCCUGCGAGAAGGACAGUAAGAGAUGCCAGCAGCUCUUCCUUGCCAGAGAUGAUCUGACCCGGUGGGGGCAGCUGGAAAGCAACACUGGCCCCCAGCUGAAGGGCCCAGCUGCAGCCGGACAGAUGGUGCUUGAGAACCGAGGCCCAGUGAUCCUCCAGCCACAGUCCAGCCCAACCACUGCCACUUUCCAUGGGACUUAGAACUUCGGAGUUGCUGCCUUGCAAUUGGAGGAAGGACCUGGGGCCCCUAUAGGCAGCAGCCAAUUACAGCCCCUUUUGUAGCCAGGCGUUCCUAUGGUCAAAGAGUGGAAAUGCAGGAACCAACCUCCCUUAAAAAAAAAAAAAAUCCAGAAAGCAGAUAAAAGUUGGAAUAUGGAAAAGGGCAAGAUGACCCCACCAGAGGCUCUUUGGCCUGAAAGUGGAGUCCCUCCCU
Molecule: small RNA, 855 nt
Filed under: Pongo abelii (Sumatran orangutan)
Lineage: Eukaryota; Metazoa; Chordata; Mammalia; Primates; Hominidae
Description: retained intron
Source: RNAcentral